CAAGGAAUAGUUUAAGGCGAGAAUUCUGGCUUUGGGAGCCGGCGGUAGGAGUUAAAGUCUCCUUUCUUUGA
Molecule: transfer RNA, 71 nt
Filed under: Bathygobius cocosensis (Cocos frill goby)
Lineage: Eukaryota; Metazoa; Chordata; Actinopteri; Gobiiformes; Gobiidae
Also listed under: 3 other names
Description: tRNA-Pro
Rfam family: tRNA
About the family: Transfer RNA (tRNA) molecules are approximately 80 nucleotides in length. Their secondary structure includes four short double-helical elements and three loops (D, anti-codon, and T loops).
Source: RNAcentral